RNAcentral lists this ribosomal RNA (492 nucleotides) under uncultured bacterium. Its description in RNAcentral is "partial 16S ribosomal RNA". It matches the Rfam family "Bacterial small subunit ribosomal RNA", at positions 29 to 507 of the family's 1533-position model. The record is from RNAcentral.
AGUGAACGCUGGCGGUAGGCCUAACACAUGCAAGUCGAACGGCAGCACAGUAAGAGCUUGCUCUUACGGGUGGCGAGUGGCGGACGGGUGAGGAAUACAUCGGAAUCUACUUUUUCGUGGGGGAUAACGUAGGGAAACUUACGCUAAUACCGCAUACGACCUACGGGUGAAAGCAGGGGAUCUUCGGACCUUGCGCGAUUGAAUGAGCCGAUGUCGGAUUAGCUAGUUGGCGGGGUAAAGGCCCACCAAGGCGACGAUCCGUAGCUGGUCUGAGAGGAUGAUCGGCCACACUGGAACUGAGACACGGUCCAGACUCCUACGGGAGGCAGCAGUGGGGAAUAUUCGACAAUGGGCGAAAGCCUGAUCCAGCCAUGCCGCGUGGGUGAAGAAGGCCUUCGGGUUGUAAAGCCCUGUUGUUGGGAAAGAACAGCAGCAGGUUAAUACACGGCUGUUUUGACGGUACCUAAAGAAUAAGCACCGGCUAACUUCGUG